UACGUAGGGGGCAAGCGUUGUCCGGAAUCAUUGGGCGUAAAGAGCGUGUAGGCGGCCCGAUAAGUCCGCCGUGAAAGUCCAGGGCUCAACCCUGGAAUGCCGGUGGAAACUGUCGGGCUGGAGUCCGGAAGAGGCGAGCGGAAUUCCUGGUGUAGCGGUGAAAUGCGCAGAUAUCAGGAGGAACACCAAUGGCGAAGGCAGCUCGCUGGGACGUUACUGACGCUGAGACGCGAAAGCGUGGGGAGCGAACAGG
This 253-nucleotide ribosomal RNA is filed under the name uncultured bacterium. RNAcentral describes it as "partial 16S ribosomal RNA". It matches the Rfam family "Bacterial small subunit ribosomal RNA", at positions 524 to 776 of the family's 1533-position model. The record is from RNAcentral.